RNAcentral lists this ribosomal RNA (467 nucleotides) under uncultured bacterium. Its description in RNAcentral is "partial 16S ribosomal RNA". It matches the Rfam family "Bacterial small subunit ribosomal RNA", at positions 28 to 507 of the family's 1533-position model. The record is from RNAcentral.
GACGAACGCUGGCGGCGUGCUUAACACAUGCAAGUCGAACGGAAAGGCCCUGCUUUUGUGGGGUGCUCGAGUGGCGAACGGGUGAGUAACACGUGAGUAACCUGCCCUUGACUUUGGGAUAACUUCAGGAAACUGGGCUAAUACCGGAUAGGAGCUCCUGCUGCAUGGUGGGGGUUGGAAGGUUUCGGCGGUUGGGGAUGGACUCGCGGCUUAUCAGCUUGUUGGUGGGGUAGUGGCUUAUCAAGGCUUUGACGGGUAGCCGGCCUGAGAGGGUGACCGGCCACAUUGGGACUGAGAUACGGCCCAGACUCCUACGGGAGGCAGCAGUGGGGAAUAUUGCACAAUGGGCGGAAGCCUGAUGCAGCAACGCCGCGUGCGGGAUGACGGCCUUCGGGUUGUAAACCGCUUUCGCCUGUGACGAAGCGUGAGUGACGGUAAUGGGUAAAGAAGCACCGGCUAACUACGUG